This 73-nucleotide transfer RNA is filed under the name Hordeum vulgare. Its description in RNAcentral is "tRNA-OTHER". The record is from RNAcentral. Lineage: Eukaryota; Viridiplantae; Streptophyta; Magnoliopsida; Poales; Poaceae.
GUAUCGAUAGCGCAGUGGUGUGUGUGUUUGGGUGAUGACCAGGAGGUCGUGGGUUCGACUCCCUCAUCCCCCA